GAUGAACGCUGGCGGCGUGCUUAACACAUGCAAGUCGAACGAGAAUCAACGGAUUGAGGAUUCGUCCAAAUGAAGUUGAGGAAAGUGGCGGACGGGUGAGUAACGCGUGAGGAACCUGCCUCGGAGUGGGGAAUAACAGUUGGAAACAGCUGCUAAUACCGCAUAAUGCAACGAAAUCGCAUGACUUUGUUGCCAAAGAUUUAUCGCUCUGAGAUGGCCUCGCGUCUGAUUAGCUAGUUGGCGGGGUAACGGCCCACCAAGGCGACGAUCAGUAGCCGACCUGAGAGGGUGACCGGCCACAUUGGGACUGAGACACGGCCCAA
Molecule: ribosomal RNA, 323 nt
Filed under: uncultured bacterium
Lineage: Bacteria
Description: bacterial SSU rRNA
Rfam family: Bacterial small subunit ribosomal RNA
Source: RNAcentral